GUCAUUGUAUUUACCCAUAUUUUGUGCCUUAAUGUUAAUGCAUGUUCAACCUUGUUAUUGUUUAUACCCAAGGGAAAGGAAUCAUGACAUUCUUGUCAUUUUGCAUCUGUGUGUUCAUCUGAAUCCUAUACAACUUCACUUCCCCUUAAUCUAAAACUUCUAGAUACAAUAUUAGGUUCCCCUCAAUAUAAACCUUAUGAUUAUAUCUCUCUCUCUCCUUUUCAUAACCACUUUCAUAAUAAACUUUGACUUGUCUCUUUCUCAUAAAAUCAACCCCAACAAACCCAUUCUUACUUUUGAACCCGAAC
RNAcentral lists this long non-coding RNA (308 nucleotides) under Lathyrus oleraceus (garden pea). RNAcentral describes it as "Pisum sativum (pea) long non-coding RNA (PSAT_LNC032460)". Lineage: Eukaryota; Viridiplantae; Streptophyta; Magnoliopsida; Fabales; Fabaceae. The record is from RNAcentral.